AACGAACGCUGGCGGCAGGCCUAACACAUGCAAGUCGAGCGAGGACUUCGGUCCUAGCGGCGGACGGGUGUGUAACGCGUGGGAACGUGCCCUUUGCUUCGGAAUAGCCCUGGGAAACUGGGAGUAAUACCGGAUGAGCCAUUCGGGGGAAAGAUUUAUCGGCGUAGGAUCGGCCCGCGUUGGAUUAGGUAGUUGGGGGGGUAAUGGCCUACCAAGCCGACGAUCCAUAGCUGGGUUGAGAGGAUGAUCCGCCACACUGGGACUGGGACACGGCCCAGACUCCUACGGAAUGCAGCAGUGGGGAAUCUUAGACUAUGGGGGAAACCCUGAUCUAGCCAUGCCGCGUGAGCGAUGAUGUCCUUAGGGUUGUAAAGCUCUUUCAGCUGGGAAGAUAAUGACGGUACCAGCAGAAGAAGCCCCGGCUAACUCCGUG
This 433-nucleotide ribosomal RNA is filed under the name uncultured bacterium. Its description in RNAcentral is "partial 16S ribosomal RNA". It matches the Rfam family "Bacterial small subunit ribosomal RNA", at positions 29 to 507 of the family's 1533-position model. The record is from RNAcentral.